GACUCCUGGUUAAAGACAAUGCAGAUGAAAGUGUCCAUCCCCACCACCCCUGUCUCUGGAGAGCAGCAUGCUGAAGGGGAAUGAAAGGGCCAUGAGAAUGCUAAGCAUAAUUUCAUUAUUAUGACCUUUAAGGAGUCAGUGGGAGGAUGGAGGAGGAACACAAGGAAGACACUAAGACAAGACCACAGAGCGCUUAAGAGAGGAGGGCAAACCCAAAGGGACUUGAAGACAAACAGAUGGGACAGGAGGAAGAGAGAUGGAAACUGGAGACUGAGCAAGACUGGCAAAGACUGGCAGAGCCACUUUCUUCCAGGGAGUGGCAGGAGCAGACCUGGGGCUCCUCAUCCAUGAAAAAACAGCCUUCUGCACAUGAUUCUCCCAUUCUCCUGAAAUCUCUGCUUUUGCUCCUCCAGGCAACCAUUAAUCUAAUAUUAAGCCCCUUAACCUCUCUAAUUGUUCCCUUUCAGUGUCAGCUGGUUUCCUAUUAACCUUUCAAUCUCUCAGUAAUGCAGUUACUUCUGACUCCAGCCAGCCCUGGCUCUAAAGCUUUACCUCCGGCAGUGAAUUUUCCAAGCUUUCACUUUUUUUUUUUCUUUCUUUUCUGUAAUGAUUAUUACUGCUGUUAAGGAGCCAGUUUGAACCAGCCUCUAAGUGCACAGGGCUGAACCAGUCAGAGUCUAUAAAUAGCCCUUCACUAACCUUGCGCCUUAUUUCAUUAGGUUGAUUGGCUUCCUUCUCUCCACUUCGUUGCAUCUCUAUCUCUCCCUGCCCUCUCCAUUAUUGAUGCUCCUUCUUUUGUUGCUAACUGAGGCACCUGUUUGUUGAUUGCAGGGUUGAUUGGCCUUGGGUUUUUCUCUCCUGAACAAAACAGUGUUGUUGCUGGAGGAACAUCUCUGGAGUUCUGCAACAGGGUGAAAGCAGAGGAGAGACAGCUCUACUCUGAAGCACCAGCAGAAGUCAAAGGUGAAUGACAAGAGCAAGAGCAGCCAGGACCCCAACUCACCAGCUGGUCAGCUACUGAUGCAGAUAGGAGAAGCCCUGCAGGUGAACAUCCGGUGUGCUGCCAGGACAGGGAACAUCUCCAUACCUGCCUGAGGGCUUUCCUGGCCCAGCCCAUCUGCUGCAGCAGCCUCUGUUCCCAAGGUCGUGAAGCACCACCUGGAUGGAAGAGGAGGAUCUUCAAAACCCCCAUUUGCCACACCUCCAGCCCUUCCCCCUCUCUGCAAAGCAUAUCCUUGAGUGAAUAAUCACCCUGCUUUCUCAGCAGGUGAAAAGAUUGUCCUUUUUAGCAUCCCAGGAGGGAUACAGCAACUGCCCAGGCAUGGAAGACUUUGAACAUCCUCAAGGUUUUGAACUUGUAUUGUCCU
Long non-coding RNA from Apus apus (common swift), 1367 nucleotides. RefSeq lists it as uncharacterized. Lineage: Eukaryota; Metazoa; Chordata; Aves; Apodiformes; Apodidae. The record is from RefSeq and is a predicted model, not a curated record. The transcript is spliced from 3 exons.